CCACAUAUUGGAAGAUAAGGGUAGCUAUUUGACUUGUUCAAACUAAAGGUUGUGAGAUAGUUAUCAGCAUACAUAUAGGAGUUAGUUUUCUUGAUGGGAUGAAACUAACUUGUACAACGUGCAUACAAGGGGUCCCUGGUCUUGCCAGAUAGUGCCUGCCAUUCCCAUCUAUAGACACUAAAAGGAAGAAGGCAUAGACCAGAAGAAUUCCUUGUUCCCUACAAUCUCCAUUCUCAAAGUCUUCAUCUCCCUAAACCUUCAGACAAACGACAUCAAAUCUGAUCACAUGACUGGAGGUAAUUCUAUUU
RNAcentral lists this long non-coding RNA (308 nucleotides) under Phoenix dactylifera (date palm). RNAcentral's name for it is "long non-coding RNA (PDAC_LNC015692)". Lineage: Eukaryota; Viridiplantae; Streptophyta; Magnoliopsida; Arecales; Arecaceae. The record is from RNAcentral.